This 569-nucleotide long non-coding RNA is filed under the name Fukomys damarensis (Damara mole-rat). RNAcentral's name for it is "lncRNA (ENSFDAG00000028580.1)". Lineage: Eukaryota; Metazoa; Chordata; Mammalia; Rodentia; Bathyergidae. The record is from RNAcentral.
AGGGGCGGAGCCUGGCGCCGCUCACCUGGAAGGCGGGGCGCGGGCCCCUGGCUGCCAGGUGGGUGCCUGGAAGAAGCAGCUGUCUGUUUGCAGCUCCGGGUGCCCGCGGGGUGCAAUGCUCCUGGAGGGCAGGAAGCCAGAAAAGGGUUUCGUUUUCGCUCUGUACGAAGGCUCUGGAGAACUGACCAACCCUUUCUCCUGGACGUCAGUGGCUGUGGUCCUGAGGCGUCAGACCUCGAAGAUGUAUACAGCUGCAUCACAUGGCGCCGCUAGUGCGCAGGACAGAAAGCCGGGCAGGCAGCCUGGCUGAGAGCCCAGAGCGUCACCUACCCACACCUGGCUUGGCCCUGCUGUGGAAGACGGGACUGGCUUCAGCAAGGGUAGAAACCUCCUUUGUCCAGCCGUCUCGCAGAGGAUCUCACCCAGCUCUCCUCACAAGGUUCUCAGCGAUACUUCUGAAGAUGAAGUCAGAAGGCUCACAUGUUUUUUCUCCAGUACUACUUGAAAUGUGGAAGUGGGAGAAAGAAAAGCCGAUAUGGGAUGCAAAGUACUCCUGCUGCACCAUUUGA